This 225-nucleotide ribosomal RNA is filed under the name Triticum aestivum (bread wheat). RNAcentral's name for it is "partial small subunit ribosomal RNA". The record is from RNAcentral. Lineage: Eukaryota; Viridiplantae; Streptophyta; Magnoliopsida; Poales; Poaceae.
AUGAUGUUGUCUAUGGAGACUUUGCUCACUGGGCCUCCACUGAUGAAGGUAAUCCGGAAAGAGCAUCUCUUGCUACUAAUGAGAGUGCUCCAGAGUGGGUUCUUGACUCUGGAGCAUCUAAGCAUGUUGCUAGUAACUCAUGUGUGUUCGAAUCUUACACUAAGCAUCCUCCCUCUCACACGGGCACUAUACAAACGGCUGAUGGCACAAAACAACCAGUCAUAG